RNAcentral lists this ribosomal RNA (258 nucleotides) under uncultured bacterium. Its description in RNAcentral is "partial 16S ribosomal RNA". It matches the Rfam family "Bacterial small subunit ribosomal RNA", at positions 524 to 776 of the family's 1533-position model. The record is from RNAcentral.
UACGUAGGGUGCGAGCGUUGUCCGGAAUUAUUGGGCGUAAAGAGCUCGUAGGCGGUCUGUCGCGUCGAUCGUGAAAAACUUGGGGGCUUAACCCUGAGCUUGCGGUCGAUACGGGCAUGACUGGAGUUCGGCAGGGGAGACUGGAAUUCCUGGUGUAGCGGUGAAAAUGCGCAGAUAUCAGGAGGAACACCGGUGGCGAAGGCGGGUCUCUGGGCCGAUACUGACGCUGAGGAGCGAAAAGCGUGGGGAGCGAACAGG